UCAGCCUACGGGGGGCAGCAGUGGGGAAUAUUGCACAAUGGGGGAAACCCUGAUGCAGCGACGCCGCGUGAGUGAAGAAGUAUUUCGGUAUGUAAAGCUCUAUCAGCAGGGAAGAAAAUGACGGUACCUGACUAAGAAGCCCCGGCUAACUACGUGCCAGCAGCCGCGGUAAUACGUAGGGAGCAAGCGUUGUCCGGAAUUACUGGGCGUAAAGGGCGCGUAGGUGGGCGCUUAAGUCAGGUGUGAAAACUCCGGGCUCAACCUGGAGACUGCACUUGAAACUGGGUGUCUUGAGGGCAGGAGAG
RNAcentral lists this ribosomal RNA (305 nucleotides) under uncultured bacterium. RNAcentral's name for it is "bacterial SSU rRNA". It matches the Rfam family "Bacterial small subunit ribosomal RNA", at positions 331 to 656 of the family's 1533-position model. The record is from RNAcentral.